Molecule: non-coding RNA, 509 nt
Organism: Coturnix japonica (Japanese quail)
Lineage: Eukaryota; Metazoa; Chordata; Aves; Galliformes; Phasianidae
Source: RefSeq, a predicted model, not a curated record
AGAAGGUGUGGCUAACCCAGGGAGCACAGGUGCAAGCAAUGCACCUGAACAACCAGAAGGGGUGGACUUCUCACACUCAUUUAUGAGACAGUUGCCAAGUCAGCAGCACCUCUAUUUACAGCCAGGAUCCUUCUUAAAACUUUACCAGCCUUUGGAAAUGCAAGCAGGAAAAUGGCACAAAGAUUGCUGAAGGUCAUGCUGCAGACCAGUGAAAGAACCAGGAUUAAAUUCAGUCCUUCUGGAUCCCUGCACUGAGACCAUUCUGCUGAGCUAUUUCUGGAAGUCAAUGAAUACUCAAUCUGAAAGCAGAGAAGUGCUAUGAGGAUGGCUGUCACCAGCAUCAGAGUUUGCAGCCCUGUGUAGUACUUUGAAUGCCUCAUUAUACAGAAUCUGCACCUCUGGACUCCUUCUUUUCUGAGGAACUCUCAGCAGGCUGCAGACGAUGCUGUGAGUCUGAAGAAAAGCAUCAGUACAGAAGAGGACCUGAAGCACUGGUGGGGAAACAGCUG